UCAUUCUUAGAGAAGCAGUAGUAGCUCAGUUAAAGCACGAUUUCUUCAUCAUUUAGUCAUAAGUACAUAAAAGAAUAUUAGGAUAAGAGUCAGUUACUCAAAAUGAGUGGUUUGGAAGAUAUGUUGUAUUGUAACUAAUGUAAUAUUUUGAUAAAUCGAUUUGCUUCCAAUAAACCUAUACUUGCGAUGAAAUUUGGUACAAAAAACGUUUCUAUUUACCUAGUACCUAUUAAAUUAUACUAUAUAUACCUACGUAUAAACCGGCCGUAAAAAACACUAUAUAUUUACGAAAUUAUUGGCAAUUUUUUUAUUUCCGAACAAUUUUUCUUGAUUAUAGAUUACCUUCAAAUAUAAAAAACUAACAAAUAAUAGAGUGGUCUGUUUUUCAAAGAAAUAUAUAUAUUUUUAAUUUCUUUGCUCUUAAUAAAAACAGACCAAUUUAUUAUUUUUUUCGUUUUUAUAUAUUUGAAGAAAACCAUCAACACAAACAAAUCAGGACAAGCUAUUGUGACACGUCUCCAGGCGGUGUCUGGAAUGCCAUAGCCUCCUGUUCCAAGGGCGGCAUUCGCACGUCCAGGCAUUUGAUCUUCCCGACAUAUGAGCUGCAAACAUUAUAUAGGUGGCUGCCAUGGCGUGUGGGCAUCCUCAGGUUGGGGUACUGGUAGGUGAACAGAACUUGCUCACAGUGUAGCUCCCCAUAAUAAUACCGCUGGACAUCGUGAAUCGACCAGUACCGUGAG
Long non-coding RNA from Plodia interpunctella (Indianmeal moth), 740 nucleotides. RefSeq lists it as uncharacterized. The record is from RefSeq and is a predicted model, not a curated record. NCBI's taxonomy places the organism in Eukaryota, Metazoa, Arthropoda, Insecta, Lepidoptera, Pyralidae. The transcript is spliced from 3 exons.